UCCGUAGGGGGCUAGCGUUGUCCGGAAUCAUUGGGCGUAAAGAGCGUGUAGGCGGCCCGGUAAGUCCGCUGUGAAAGUCGGGGGCUCAACCCUCGAAUGCCGGUGGAUACUGUCGGGCUAGAGUGCGGAAGAGGCGAGUGGAAUUCCUGGUGUAGCGGUGAAAUGCGCAGAUAUCAGGAGGAACACCAAUUGCGAAGGCAGCUCGCUGGGACGUAACUGACGCUGAGACGCGAAAGCGUGGGGAGCAAACAGG
Molecule: ribosomal RNA, 253 nt
Filed under: uncultured bacterium
Lineage: Bacteria
Description: partial 16S ribosomal RNA
Rfam family: Bacterial small subunit ribosomal RNA
Source: RNAcentral